Molecule: ribosomal RNA, 839 nt
Filed under: uncultured bacterium
Lineage: Bacteria
Description: bacterial SSU rRNA
Rfam family: Bacterial small subunit ribosomal RNA
Source: RNAcentral
CAUGCAAGUCGAACGGCAGCAUGAUCUAGCUUGCUAGAUUGAUGGCGAGUGGCGAACGGGUGAGUAAUACAUCGGAACGUGCCCUGUAGUGGGGGAUAACUAGUCGAAAGAUUAGCUAAUACCGCAUACGACCUGAGGGUGAAAGUGGGGGACCGCAAGGCCUCAUGCUAUAGGAGCGGCCGAUGUCUGAUUAGCUAGUUGGUGAGGUAAAGGCUCACCAAGGCGACGAUCAGUAGCUGGUCUGAGAGGACGAUCAGCCACACUGGGACUGAGACACGGCCCAGACUCCUACGGGAGGCAGCAGUGGGGAAUUUCGGACAAUGGGGGCAACCCUGAUCCAGCAAUGCCGCGUGUGUGAAGAAGGCCUUCGGGUUGUAAAGCACUUUUGUCCGGAAAGAAAUCGCACUUACUAAUAUUAGGUGUGGAUGACGGUACCGGAAGAAUAAGGACCGGCUAACUACGUGCCAGCAGCCGCGGUAAUACGUAGGGUCCAAGCGUUAAUCGGAGUUACUGGGCGUAAAGCGUGCGCAGGCGGUUGUGCAAGACCGAUGUGAAAUCCCCGGGCUUAACCUGGGAAUUGCAUUGGUGACUGCACGGCUAGAGUGUGUCAGAGGGGGGUAGAAUUCCACGUGUAGCAGUGAAAUGCGUAGAGAUGUGGAGGAAUACCGAUGGCGAAGGCAGCCCCCUGGGAUAACACUGACGCUCAUGCACGAAAGCGUGGGGAGCAAACAGGAUUAGAUACCCUGGUAGUCCACGCCCUAAACGAUGUCAACUAGUUGUUGGGGAUUCAUUUCCUUAGUAACGUAGCUAACGCGUGAAGUUGACCGCCUGGGGAGUAC